RNAcentral lists this long non-coding RNA (251 nucleotides) under Phoenix dactylifera (date palm). RNAcentral's name for it is "long non-coding RNA (PDAC_LNC009518)". Lineage: Eukaryota; Viridiplantae; Streptophyta; Magnoliopsida; Arecales; Arecaceae. The record is from RNAcentral.
GUUAGCAUGCAUAGUAAAUUUUGACCUUUCAGAAGAUAAUCUAAGUAAGCCAAUGGCAAGGUCUUUUGAGAUUAAGUACAUACUAGCAUGAGUUGAUUUUAUAUGCCAAAGAUGGUUUCUUUAAUCUUGGUAUUCAUAGUGCAUAUAUUCAAAAGCACACCAAGUACACAUUAUCAUAUCUAUGAUCAAUAAACAAUAAUGCCAUGGAUAAAAACUCUCAAUCAAGCAUAUAGAGAAUUCAUAGAUUUAUU